GUGCUUGCUUCAGCAGCACAGAUACUAAAAUUGGAGUGAUAUAGAGAGGAUUGACAUGGCCCCUGCACAAGGAUAGCAUGCAAAUUCAUGAAGCAUUCUGUAUUUAA
This is a small nuclear RNA of Callorhinus ursinus (northern fur seal), 107 nucleotides long. The record is from RefSeq and is a predicted model, not a curated record. NCBI's taxonomy places the organism in Eukaryota, Metazoa, Chordata, Mammalia, Carnivora, Otariidae.